UACGUAGGGGGCAAGCGUUGUCCGGAAUCAUUGGGCGUAAAGAGCGUGUAGGUGGCUCCGCGAGUCCGAUGUGAAAGCCCAGGGCUCAACCCUGGAAGUGCAUUGGAUACUACGGAGCUGGAGGCCUGGAGAGGUGGGCGGAAUUCCCGGUGUAGAGGUGAAAUUCGUAGAUAUCGGGAGGAACACCAGUGGCGAAGGCGGCUCACUGGACAGGUCCUGACACUGAGACGCGAAAGCGUGGGUAGCAAACAGG
RNAcentral lists this ribosomal RNA (253 nucleotides) under uncultured bacterium. Its description in RNAcentral is "partial 16S ribosomal RNA". It matches the Rfam family "Bacterial small subunit ribosomal RNA", at positions 524 to 776 of the family's 1533-position model. The record is from RNAcentral.